RNAcentral lists this ribosomal RNA (498 nucleotides) under uncultured bacterium. RNAcentral describes it as "partial 16S ribosomal RNA". It matches the Rfam family "Bacterial small subunit ribosomal RNA", at positions 28 to 508 of the family's 1533-position model. The record is from RNAcentral.
GAUGAACGCUGGCGGCGUGCCUAAUACAUGCAAGUCGAGCGAACGGACGAGAAGCUUGCUUCUCUGAUGUUAGCGGCGGACGGGUGAGUAACACGUGGAUAACCUACCUAUAAGACUGGGAUAACUUCGGGAAACCGGAGCUAAUACCGGAUAAUAUUUUGAACCGCAUGGUUCAAAAGUGAAAGACGGUCUUGCUGUCACUUAUAGAUGGAUCCGCGCUGCAUUAGCUAGUUGGUAAGGUAACGGCUUACCAAGGCAACGAUGCAUAGCCGACCUGAGAGGGUGAUCGGCCACACUGGAACUGAGACACGGUCCAGACUCCUACGGGAGGCAGCAGUAGGGAAUCUUCCGCAAUGGGCGAAAGCCUGACGGAGCAACGCCGCGUGAGUGAUGAAGGUCGUCGGAUCGUAAAACUCGGUUAUUAGGGAAGAACAUAUGUGUAAGUAACUGGGCACAUCUUGACGGUACCUAAUCAGAAAGCCACGGCUAACUACGUGC